RNAcentral lists this long non-coding RNA (1098 nucleotides) under Rattus norvegicus (Norway rat). RNAcentral describes it as "long non-coding RNA NONRATT016343". The record is from RNAcentral. Lineage: Eukaryota; Metazoa; Chordata; Mammalia; Rodentia; Muridae.
CCACUUUAGCUUAAUUAGCAGUUCUCUUCUUUUUCCUCCUUUUCCCUUGACUUUUACUUGGUGCCUUCUGGUUUGCACUGGUCUGAGCUCUGUGAAUAAAGUAAUAUAACAGCUCACUGUACCCCCAUCUGUCCUGGAUUAGACCACUUGGACCAUUUUAUAGAACUACGGCCAGUUUUUAAAUGUAUAUUUGAAAGAGACCAGAAAUUUGUUACCUUAUUUUUUUUGGACUCUUCUCUGGCUCCAAAAUAAUCAUUUCUUCUUCUUCACUAUCUGAUAGCACUAUAGGGGCACCUUUAAGAAAAUUCCAAAAAAGGAGUUUACUACUUGACCACAUCAGAGGUCCUAAUGCUCCCAUUUCCAGGCUAACUAAAAGCUCAACUAUGCUGCCUGGAGGCUGAUACAUACUCUUUCCAAAUCUUACCCUAUUCUAAGUAGCUCCUCGCAGCUCUGAAAAUUUGUAAAAACUGAUGUUUUCUGUAAGCUUUUUCUUUUUUUCUUUCUCUCCCAGAGGACAUGUAAGCUAGGAUGUUCUUGCUACCAGAGCUGACCAUGAAAACUGUAGAAAACUGCUUUUUUGCCAUUUUUCUCUUGAACAGUAAUUAUAUAUGUGUGUAAAUAAAGCUUGCAAUUUAACCCUUUGCCCAUUUGGCUGGCUGUGUGUUUCACUGCUCGGGAUUCUUUUUUUUUUUUUGUUUUUGUUUUUUUUUGUUUUUGUUUUUUUUCGGAGCUGGGGACUGAACCCAGGGCCUUGCGCUUCCUAGGCAAGCGCUCUACCACUGAGCUAAAUCCCCAACCCCGCUCGGGAUUCUUAAAACCAGAAACAAAGGCCUCUGAAAAGAGGUAUACACAUGUGCAGAGUGAGAUGAUAAGAAAUAGCAUCACUAAUCCUAAUUAGGCUCUUUACCUUAAAAUACCCAGUUACCUAAUUCAUUUUUUUCUUUUUUUUUUUUUUUUUGGAGCUGGGGAUCGAACCCAGGGCCUUGUGCUUGCUAGGCAAGCACUCUACCGCUGAGCUAAAUCCCCAACCCCCCAGUUACCUAAUUAAACCAACACUGUUCCCCUGUCAAAACAAUACCACCAAAGGCUUACGUAACA